CCUACGGGAGGCAGCAGUGAGGAAUAUUGGUCAAUGGGCUUACGCCUGAACCAGCCAAGUCGCGUGAGGGAAGACUGCCCUAUGGGUUGUAAACCUCUUUUGUCAGGGAGCAACGCCGGCUACGUGUAGCCGGACUGAGAGUACCUGAAGAAAAAGCAUCGGCUAACUCCGUGCCAGCAGCCGCGGUAAUACGGAGGAUGCGAGCGUUAUCCGGAUUUAUUGGGUUUAAGGGGUGCGUAGGCGGAAUGCCAAGUCAGCGGUAAAAUCGCGGGGCUCAACCUCGCUCAGCCGUUGAAACUGGCGGUCUUGAGUGGGCGAGAAGUAUGCGGAAUGCGUGGUGUAGCGGUGAAAUGCAUAGAUAUCACGCAGAACUCCGAUUGCGAAGGCAGCAUACCGGCGCCCAACUGACGCUGAAGCACGAAAGCGUGGGUAUCGAACAGGAUUAGAUACCCCAGUAGUC
This 460-nucleotide ribosomal RNA is filed under the name uncultured bacterium. RNAcentral describes it as "partial 16S ribosomal RNA". It matches the Rfam family "Bacterial small subunit ribosomal RNA", at positions 338 to 795 of the family's 1533-position model. The record is from RNAcentral.